Non-coding RNA from Xylariales sp. AK1849, 83 nucleotides. The record is from the annotation of a GenBank genome assembly. Lineage: Eukaryota; Fungi; Ascomycota; Sordariomycetes; Xylariales.
GGUCUUUUGGCCCAAUGGCAAGGCGUCUGACUACGACAUCAUGAGUAAUCAGGAGAUUCUGGGUUCGACCCCCAGGAAGACCU